RNAcentral lists this ribosomal RNA (414 nucleotides) under Triticum aestivum (bread wheat). RNAcentral describes it as "partial small subunit ribosomal RNA". Lineage: Eukaryota; Viridiplantae; Streptophyta; Magnoliopsida; Poales; Poaceae. The record is from RNAcentral.
AUGUGGGUCAGUUCAUCUUGUCCGGUUUGUCAGUUCUGUCAGAAGCUGUCUGAAGCUCCUACAAAUCCUACAUGUUCUGUUUGCCAGACCUCUGAAAACCUCUGGAUCUGUGUGAUAUGUGGUUUUGUUGGAUGCGGAAGGUACAAAGAAGGGCAUUCAACCAGGCACUGGAAAGGCACUCAGCACUGCUAUUCUCUCGAUUUGGAAACUCAACGUGUUUGGAAUUAUGUUGGUGACAGUUAUGUCCAUCGACUCAAUCACUCAAAAAGCGAUGUAAAGCAUGCUAAGUUCAGUUCAAAGUGUGAAUAUCCCGAGGACAACUGCGUAAACUGUAUGCACGAGGACUCAGAUAUGGGUGGAGUUAUGUUUAGCAGAAAGCGGACACAAUUGUGGAUGAAUACAAUCGUCUUUUAG